AGCGAACGCUGGCGGCAGGCCUAACACAUGCAAGUCGAACGAACUCUUCGGAGUUAGUGGCGGACGGGUGAGUAACACGUGGGAACGUGCCUUUUGGUUCGGAAUAACUCAGGGAAACUUGUGCUAAUACCGAAUGUGCCCUUCGGGGGAAAGAUUUAUCGCCAUUAGAGCGGCCCGCGUCUGAUUAGCUAGUUGGUGAGGUAACGGCUCACCAAGGCGACGAUCAGUAGCUGGUCUGAGAGGAUGACCAGCCACACUGGGAAUGAGACACGGCCCAGACUCCUACGGGAGGCAGCAGUGGGGAAUCUUGCGCAAUGGGCGAAAGCCUGACGCAGCCAUGCCGCGUGAAUGAUGAAGGUCUUAGGAUUGUAAAAUUCUUUCACCGGGGACGAUAAUGACGGGACCCGGAGAAGAAGCCCCGGCUAACUUCGUG
Molecule: ribosomal RNA, 433 nt
Filed under: uncultured bacterium
Lineage: Bacteria
Description: partial 16S ribosomal RNA
Rfam family: Bacterial small subunit ribosomal RNA
Source: RNAcentral